GUGGGAGCAGCGGCCGCAGGGUUGGCAGACUGGGGAAAGCACAAGAUGGCGGAGUGAGGCGCGCGGGGCUGGGCCGGCCUCUGGGCCGGGGGCAAAUAGGCCCCUGGACGGUUGGUUGCCUCUGUAGGUCGGAACAAGGGUGAAUAUUUUCCUUGAGGUUUAGGUGCUUUUAUAUUCAUCUCAAAAAGAAAACAAAAAUUCUGAACUCAGGAUUUGACAAGUAUUUCUAUGUUGUCUUCAGGAGUGGUGGUCCUGCUUCUUUUAUCUGGCCACUUUCUCUGUUCUUAAAAUGUGGAUCUCUCUUCUCUACAUUUUACCUCCAUGAUUUGGAAUGGAAAAUGCUGCUUUUCUUUUUGUUGCAAUGCUCAGAUGCAACACAGAAACCCCCUAGGAUACAGUGAUUCUGCCAACUUCUUCAGGAAAAAAGAAACAACUGACAAGUCUUCUGCUUCUUGUUAAACUGGAAAGAAAUUGUUUUGCAAGCUGCAGGCUGAUGUUAAAUUUGAAGCAGGUGCUGAGAUGAUGGUAUUUGUGAACUUUUUACAUUUUGUUCCAAACAAGAAGACUAAAUAAGCAGCAAGUAUGGAUGACAUCAGGGUUUUGUUUUGCUUUAAUGUCUUCCAGUUUCAGCCACUAUCAUGAUAAGCACAGCAAAUUCCUAAUGUGUUCUAAUUUAAAAUGAAAGCGAUACUAAAAAUUACAUUUAUAUGUAAACACGGUUCAUCCUGUGACAUAGAUUUAAUGUAUAAGAACAACUUCCAAUUCUGCAAUAAAACCUUUGAUGUGAUAAAGAAGCAUAAAGACAAGAUAAUUUCAUAUGUGAGUGAAUCACAGUAACUAUAAAUAUAAGUUUUUACAGGUAGAAAUCCACAUUUUUGGAUGAGGAGAGAAUUUCUCUUGGAGAAGGAAGCUGUUCUUGAUUUCUUUCUCGGAAGUCUUUGGACAUUUGUUACUUUUUAAAUUUUUUUUUUUUCUUUCUUUUAAGAGAGGACUACAUUGUACAUAUGCUAACCCUAUGAAUACAUGUGGGGAUUUAGUGAGAGGUUGGUAAAAGAAAACAAAACAGAUUUGAACCCAGUGAUGGAACCCCACUCAACUCCGCAGGAUGCGAGACUACUAUAUUUCAAAUUACUUCAUUCUUUUUUGUGGAGUCCUACAUAGAACUUGAGACUUGGUUUUCCACUUGCUGAGACUAGAAGAAAAGUGGCAUAUUGGUUUUCCUGUUAAGAAGAUGUGAUGAAUCCUAUGAUGUGGCCUGUCUUCAACUUGGGACAUUGGAGGAGUGUGGGAAAAUGAGUUAAUGCCUUUCUUCUAAGAAAAAGCAAAAAUGCCUACUGAAUUUCCAUCUGACUUAUGGCAUUUUAUAUUCUAUAGCUCCAGUUUUUGUAAAAUCAUCAGUAACUUUUUUUCUUUGACCCAAGAUGGGUUUUUGAAUGUUUGAUUUAUUUUUAAGGCAAUAGGUGUAAUGUUAGGUUGAAAGGGUGGAAUUAGGUAACUUUCCCCAGUUGGAACUGAGCUUUUUCAUUCAAUGUUGCAAUGUUGCCCAAUGUUGUGCCCAACAUUGCCCAGCUGCAGUGUUGCCCAAACUUGUGAUUGGGUCAUUAUAGACUGAGAAGAAAUUCAGAGUCUUUAAAACUUUAAACAAACAAAAGAAGUUCAAGUAAGGAACAUGAACUGCCUUACCUUAAAACUUACUCCAUAUGAACAGGCUAGUGUAAAACUACCCUUGCUUCCACAUCAACAGAGGUCCAGUGUAUAAAGCGUCAGGUCUUUACAUAGGAAGAAUGAAAUCUUUAUGUCUUUGUGAGUAGAAAAGGAAUUUAAAUUUCUUAGCUGAAAUUUAGAAAAGUCUUUGAUCAUCUCUGUGAUUUAGGGAAUGUUUGCCCAAGACCAUGCAUGCUUUUAUGCUGAAAAUUUAGGUCAUAUUUACCAAUAUUUGACAAGUAUACAACCAAAGGAAAAGUUGAUCACUCUUAAAUGAUUAGUCAAAUUGGCUGACUUGAAUUGGCAUAAGAAAGCUUUUUAGUAAAAUAAUUACUGAAUGUAGAUAAAAUAUAGUUUCCUUUGAGGGCAGUUAUUGAAUGGUAAAGCUCAGUGAAAGGAACUUUGGAUAAAGAUAAUUUAAGCUUUUCUCUAAGUGACUUCCCAUCCACUUCCUGAUGUUUUCAGUAUUUUGGAGUUGUUCAAGACAAUGGAGCCUAUAUACAUGAGUUCCCAUUGGUGUGUUGAAAAUAUAUCAUGCCUGAAUUUGUAUUUCUCAAGUUACCUAGUUUCCCCAUGUUCUUUUGGCAACUCUUUGGGUAGGAUCACUUGGCAGGGGAAUAGGGUACCUAUACCGUCAGCACCAGUGAAACCAGGUCUCACCCUCUUAACUGAAUAUGUAUGAGACUGCUCUAUAUUUUUCUCUAUAUUUCUCUAGUUGCUCUAAAUUUUUCAUUUCACUUCUAGGAGAACUGCUGUUUACUGCUCUCUUUCAAAUUAUUAUUGCAUUUUCCAUGGCUAUCACCAGAGGACAUUAAACAACAUGGGUAUAUUCCAAUUGUAUUUGCCCAAUGUUUGCUUACUAUAUCUACAUACUUUCCUGGGGUCGAUUUUGUUCCCCUAGAUUACAAAAGCUAUCACUUUGGCCAGGACUAUGCCUCAAUCUGUAGCUGUGUCUGCUUCCAUUAUUUUUGCUCAUCCAUGUCAGCUGGCAGUUUUUCUUUUAAAAAGUUAAACAAAAACGGGGUAUGUGCAAUAGAAAUAUAUAUAUAUGUAUAUUUUAAUACUUGUGGACAAAUGUUACAAGUUGUUUAAGAACAACAAAAUCACCAAUGUCUUCCAUUUUGAGAUGUGUAUAGUUUUGUAAGCAUUAGUGCUUGGUAGCAUAUUGUAGUGCCAUGUUAGGGAUUAGUGCAUGAACCUAGUAAAAAUUUAAACUUCAGGAUGAAUUAUUGAUAAUAAUCAGUGGUGUAAAAAGAGUGGAAAAUCUAGACCUUUUUUUCAUAAAUAUCUAAAUCCAUUAUAUUCUCCCUGGGGGAAGAUUAAGGCCAAAAAGACUCAUUUAUGAAUAGAAAUGUGGGGUCACAAUGUAAAAUACUGUUUUGAGGAUAUGUAAUCUUUCCAUGAGGUCGCUGAAUACCAGUUGGCUUUGUCUUGUGAAAUCUCAAAACAAGACCCCGUAUGAUUCUGCUUUGCUCUUAGUUUUAGGUAAGAUUGUUCUUACGUUACUCACAUUGUAUGUCCUCUAGGCUUAUUAUUUUCCACUUUUGCAUCAAGAAAUUAUGUUUUGCAUGUCUUACUGAGAUGCUAUGUUAAUUGCUUAAGUCAGUCUUUCUUAAUCUGUAGAUCAUUUAGGUUUCCUACCGCAGCAUGCUACAUGUUCAUGGAAGAACACUGCUCAGUAGUUUAGUGUCCUAGGUUAGCUUGUCAUGGGCUCUUCCUUACAAAUAUGCAGAAUUGUAUAUUGAUGGGAUUCCAGACCUUGUUAAUGAGAUUGGAAACACAGCUGAUGGCAUCUACCUAGGUUGCCAUGUAAUAACUAGUUCUUUUGCUUGGGUAUAGUAAGCCACCUCAGACAGCUUUCACUUUUUUCUAUUUUCCUUGUAGAAAUAAAAGUUGUUUUGUUCUGAAAGUAUAAGAUAGCUUUAUAUAGAAAAGAAACUCCUACCUCUAAAAGCUGCCUUGAGAAACUGGAAAUGGCAGUUUUCUGAGGUGAUUUUUAGAUCUCAGUACCAGAGUUCAGGAUUUAUUGACGAUUCUACAGUUAGCAUGACAGGAAAUGCAAAACUAUUUUAAUAUGUAUGUGCAGAGGCAAGUUUAAACAAACAGACUCUUGGACAGCAGAUCUCCAGGGACCCAGGUUUAGGUUCUCACAGUCUAUUUAAAGUAGUUGUACUCUUAGCUCAAGUAGUUUAGUGCCUGGAAGAAUCCAUUUCUGAAAAGCAUUUGAACAUUUUUAAAAAUACCUCUGAAAAGGUAAUGAAUACAAAAUAGCACAGUAUAUAGAAAAGGAUAUUUUCUUUUGCAAAAAAAAAAAAAAAAAAGCCAUAAAAUGAACCAAUACUUUUCAAGAGGUAGAAUUUUAGUAGCAAUAACAAUUUUGUAUGUGUAAUAAACUGCAUUAGCAAGGUUGUACAGUAGAGUAUUACUACUUGAGUUUGUGGGGCUCUGUGAUCAACACAGUCUCACAAAAGGAAAAAGAUGUUCUGGGUAAAGAGCAUAUAAAAGAUACUUUUAAAGCUAUGAAUGUAUAUGGGAAUAUCAUUGUGUGAGAAAUUCCAACUUUUGGUAAGUAAAAGGAUAAAGCCCUUGUUUCCUAAAGCAGAGGGUUAGAGCCUUUGAACUAAACUUUUCUAGUGCUUCAACAUGUACUCCUACUGAUGUAAGCCCACUGAAGCCAUGGUAUGGGGGUUUUGCUUAUGUUUCUUUUAGCAACAGGCAUUUAUAGAACAAUAUAAUUUUUGUUUUGUUGUCUCAUCUUCAUUAAUUUCCUGAGUGCAUUUUUUUCAAAGGGAGAAGUUAGUUGUGUGUGUAUAAUUAGGAUUUUUCCCAGAACUUAAAUAGCUGGCUUUUUCUCAAGCCUGUGACUGGUUCGGUUAGGGGAAUUAUGAUUUAAAGAUGUAAAGCAAAGGAUUGAAAGAGAUAAUAUCCAAAUGUAGUCUGUUGGUUUUGUUCAUUUCUUUCUAAUCUUGUCUAACAGAUGCGCCAAGGUCUGUGGCCUGUGAGUGCUUACUUUAAUGAGAAAUUUGAUCUGUAGAAUCACACAGCUCACAUCAGGAUAUAAUAGUGGAAUGAGGAUGACUUCUUAUUCCCUUUUACCUCAUGCUAAUCUUGGCCAUUUAGCACCUUGAAGAUCUCUAAAAAAAAGAUUAUUAGGUCUAUGAUCCCUUGCUUUCCCAGCCGGGGGUGGAGAGGUGGGGGGAUUGGAAGAUGAGUGGAUCUAAGGAGAUGGUGCUUCUUCAAUUUUUCUGAUAUGGCAACUCCAAAUGAUAGAAAGGCUGUAAUAAUUGAUUAUAUAGCUCUUCUAAAUGUCCUGUGCCAGAGGUUGGUAUUGGAGACAUUGGAAUAACCAAGCAAUAUUCAACAUCUGCACAAUCAGGAGGACACCGCCACUUACGGUGAUUCAAAAGUUUGGUUACUUGGAACAAUGAAAGAUUGACUUUAACAGCCACGUUCAUAGUUCUAAAUGCUAAAAUGUGCUACAAGUGUUUGUUGUCUCAAAGUGUGCGAUUAAUUACUCCUCAGUGUUGUGGUCUCAUGUUUACUCUUUGUGUACCUGUGAUAUGCAAAAUAUGAAGAGACCCUUGGCCUCCAGGAGUUUACAUUCUCAUGGUGCUGCUGAUGCAAGCAAAUUGCUUCUAGUUUAUUCAGAACAUUGCUUGGCUAUAGAUUAUACCAUAUUUGGAAGGAUCCCUUGGCCAACAGUUUUCAAAAGCAGAGGGCUAUGAUACAUUUCAGGGCAUUGACUUUGAGUUUACAUUGUAUUAGUUCUGCUGUUCAUAAACUCCUCCCAAGGGAGCUGUGCAGUUAAUGCUCAUUAAUAUGAAUCAGAAAUUCUGCCUAAGAGUGUCUUCACCACCCCUAAACCACCUAUGUUGUUCUAUGCUAUAGCUGUCAGUAAAUGGCCAGGAAAACUUAAAUGCUCCAAAAGACUGUACAUCUCUCAGUUCUUUCUUUUCCCAGAGUUUUUACAUCAUCCUCUAUCCAAAGGACCGGGAUUUGCAAUUAAGCCUUUUGUCACUCAAUAGUGGUCCUAAAUCUUAACCUUUUUUGCGUGUGAUUUUUGUACCUCUAUUCUGAUGCAGCAUUGUGAUAGAUGUGGAACACUUGCCUGCAAUCGCUUAACACACAUUUUUGGUUGAAAUUUUGCAUGUAUCAUUAUUUCCUUUAACUCCUCUGAAUCUAGAGAUUUAAUCUGCAUGUUUAUUAAAACUGGGUCUGGUUCAAAAUACAAGCAAUAGCGGCAGGCCUAUAACUCUGAUCUUACUAAUAUCCUAAUGCAUGAUUGAAAAUGUCCAGUGUAAUGUGGUUACUAGUAAUUAUACAUAUGCAUUUAUUAAUAAUGAAGCAAUAGAGACUUAUACCAAUAGCUUGAAUUUAUUGUUUGAAUUUUUUUGUAAUUAAAGAUGAUCUUCCAUUGAAAAUGGGAGCUUAAAGAUAAACAGGGGCAACCAAAAGACAUUCAAAUUAUCAGGAUUAGAGCAUUAUAAUGCUCACCCUCUAAUCUCUUGCCUGUUUCCAUUAGUCCCCAAGCAUGUUUAAAAACAAAAGGCGGGCCUCCCCUGGUGGCGGUUGCAAGGCUGCCUGCAGCCUCUGCAGUGCCAGUUCAAUUCCCCAGCCACUGGCGAGGGUCCCACAAAAAAAAAUAAAAUAAAAUAAAAUAAAAACAAAAGGCACAAACUAAGCAUGUUGAAUUAAUAAAUAAGCUGCUAUGGCUCUAAAAAUCAGAAAGGUGCAGAGUUUCAAAAAUGGUGGGAAAGUAGGGAAUACCAUUGUGGGUAUGUAAAAUCAUAAGGGGUUUAUGUGAUGUUUCAUGCGGCCUAAGUUUAGAUCUCUUAAAACGGUUAUCUUGGAAGUAAAUUGAGGUGAUACGCAUAUUUCAAAUGUUCACCAGGAUUUUCAGAUAGUUAGGCAACUGUUGUGGAUGGGCCUGUUAUCUAGCAGUCAUGAUUGAUCCCUGCAACAAAGGAGACUGGUCCAUUUUGUGGAAAUAGUCUUGAAAAUAGACACAUCAGUGAUUUGGUUUUAUUUUUAAUUAUACUAUUACAUUAAAGGUUAUAUUUGUGGUCUCUUUUAGCAACAGUUUAUUAUUGAUAUUUUGGUUAGACUGUGUAACUUGUUACCAAAAGCUAUUGCUACCCCCUAAACAGUAACAGGUUUUCCCAUUUUAGGGGAAAAAGAAAAACCUUGCCUUUUGUUUUUUUAUUUGAUUAAAAUAUCAGUUUGUUGGGGUAGCUUAAAAAAAAUUUUUUUUAGAAGAUUCUUGAUUGAAUUAACACCAGUAAAUAGUCCUGACAAAUAAUGUACAAAUGGAAUUCAUUGUCUGAAUGACAUCUACAUAGAAGAAAAUUCAGGAUUAAACUGAUUUCAUGUAAAUGUUUCCAGAGUUUUUAUUCUAUGACUGAUAAGUCUUUUUCCCCCCAAUUAAUCUCAUUUUCUUUGUUGUGGGAUUUUACCCCCAACACCUUUGGAAAUGGUCAAGUGGAAUAGAAACUUUCUGGGGGUUUGGGAAGUGAAACAGACUUCACUGCAGAGUUUGGCACCCACUCAAAUACAGAAAGUGAGAUGCAUCCCAUUUGCAGAUUUUCUCUUUGCCACGUAUUUUAUCUGUCAGCCAAUGACACCAGUAAGAUUUAAGGAGAGUCAUAAACGCUCUUCUCUAUCAUUCUACUAAGGCAUAGAAAAAUACUAAUAUUGGAAAAGCAAACAUUUCUUCAGGAACGCAUCCGCACUUAGAUAAAAGUUACUAACAGCUUUCAAAAAGUCAUGCGUGGCUUGAAGAUGGCCAUUUUUCUCCCACAGUAAGGGUAUCCCUGGAAUAUAUUCUCAUCAGCCUUUAAAAAUAAUAGUGGUUUUUGUGCUCACCCUAAAGCAACCCACCACUUGUAAUGAAGAAAAUAUUAAUGUUCACUUAGUUUUACUUACUCUCCUGUAAGUACAGGAGUCCCUCACUGUUCUUGCUGUUCGGUAUCCUCCACUGCACCACUGAUAAUGUUAAAAAAUUUUUCACUGAAUGUUUAAAGUAUAAAAGGCAGCUUGCUCUUUAAUCUAUGCAUCUUGGAAUUUUAGAAGUUUUAUUCUUUGUUGUAAAAGGGAACAACUUUAUGAGAUGGAAACUCUGCACCUGUGUGUGUGUAUGUGUGUGUAUUUUGGCAAUAAAGCAGCAUGGGCUGAGGAUGCACUGAAAUGUCACUGUGUGUUGUUUGUUAUGCAGAAUGGGCAAUUUCUAAUGUAGUAAAUUGUGGAACUGGGAAAAGGGCUAUGUCCUGAAUUACGUUGA
This is a long non-coding RNA of Talpa occidentalis (Iberian mole), 7981 nucleotides long. RefSeq lists it as uncharacterized. Lineage: Eukaryota; Metazoa; Chordata; Mammalia; Eulipotyphla; Talpidae. The record is from RefSeq and is a predicted model, not a curated record. The transcript is spliced from 3 exons.